AUAUAUUUAGAUCUGCACAUUUUUUUCAUAACUAACUACCCUGAUUUUCCUAAACCCUGACAAUUUCGCCCACAAACUCUAAAUUUCAAACCUUAAACUUUAACCGUGUUAUUUCCUCUCAACCAUAAACUUUUUCUUAAACCUUAACAAACCUUAUUAUUAUUUCCUAUUUUCGCUCAUAUUUAUGUUAUUCAUACACUGUAACUGCUUC
RNAcentral lists this long non-coding RNA (211 nucleotides) under Lathyrus oleraceus (garden pea). RNAcentral describes it as "Pisum sativum (pea) long non-coding RNA (PSAT_LNC016333)". The record is from RNAcentral. Lineage: Eukaryota; Viridiplantae; Streptophyta; Magnoliopsida; Fabales; Fabaceae.